AUGCACUCUAAUUAAUAUCCUUUAAAUUCUCUUUCUCGAUUUUCGUGCAUGUUCGAUUAUUCGACGGCCGCCCAAGGCGUCGCGUGCGACGCCGGUCGGCCGCUUACGCUCGCUCUUUCCUUCGUUGACUCCUCGUAUCUUCCCUAACGUCGAAAAUAAUUUCUAAAAAAAUUAUUUACGCGCAUACUUUAAUUAUCGCAAUCAUUUAUCGUUGAAGAGGUAUAAUUUCAUUUCAUACUUAGGAUAAAAUUAUUCAUUCUUUAAAACGUUCCGGAAAUCAUUACAUAAUUCGCCACGAUUAAUUAUCGGCCCAUCGAUUAAUUAAUUUGGCCCUCACCUUUAUACUUCCAAUUAAAAUAAAAAGGCCCAAAAAAAACAAGGCCCAAAUUUUUUUUUCUAUAUCCCCUCCACAUCUCUCUUCCUCUCUAUUCAUCUCUCUCUCUCUUCGACGGAAACUGCCCAAAUUCUCCCCCAAGGUUGGGUCGCCGCCUCCGCGAAUCGUCUCCCUCGUCGACCCCCACGCCGACGAUCACUGCUCGCCGGGAGAAACGUCGUCUUCCGCCGCUGCCGCUGGAGUCGUCGGAAAAAGCUGUUGUCCGCCGCUGCUACUGCUGCCACGGGGAGGGAAGCCGCUGUCGUCGCACCGUCGGAGAGGCGCCAGUCGUCGCUGCUGCCGCCGGACAGCACGGCUGCUUUCGCCGGCACCCCGAACCUCUCCGAUCAGCCCCGCACUCCACCCGAACAGCCCGAUUACAAUGUAAGGUGAGAAGAGAAGUGAAAGGGUGGAUGUUUAAAAAGGGGUGUCUUUUGGUUUGUAGGAUAAAUGGUGGAAGAUGGAGAGUGGGUGGAGAAGUUGAAAGUUGGGAAGUCUCCACUUGAAUGAAACCGCCGAUCGUGGAGAGGAGAAGAAGGAGAAGGGUUCUUGGGCUUGUUCCCUUUUUUUGGAAAAGAAUGGACUCCCACUUUAAUUAGAUUGGUUUGGGCUCAUUUAGUUGAAAGCCCAAGUUUGUAAAAUUCUUUAUCAAUGGGUUGGAUUUCUUUAAAUAAUUAGGGUCCAAACCAUUUUGUAGAUAGACAAUUGGACUCUAAUUAAAUUUGCAAAGCCCAAUAUAAAUUCAUACUUUAUAUUUUCGUA
This is a long non-coding RNA of Salvia splendens (bonfire salvia), 1135 nucleotides long. RefSeq lists it as uncharacterized. Lineage: Eukaryota; Viridiplantae; Streptophyta; Magnoliopsida; Lamiales; Lamiaceae. The record is from RefSeq and is a predicted model, not a curated record. The transcript has 2 exons.